This 2172-nucleotide long non-coding RNA is filed under the name Marmota monax (woodchuck). Lineage: Eukaryota; Metazoa; Chordata; Mammalia; Rodentia; Sciuridae. The record is from RNAcentral.
CCCCUCCUCUGCUUCAGAGAGCCUCGUCCAUGGAUGCAGGGGAGGGGGCCGGGCUGGGGUCUUGCCGACUUGCCUCCUGCGUGGAGACCAGAGGCCUUGUCUCCUCAGCCUGCUGCACUCUGUUGAGGGAAGCAUGUUCCCAGGCCCCGGGAAACCCUCAGGGAGCAAGAAUCCCCGAGAAGCAGCACUGCCCAACCGUCACUCACGGUCCACCUUCACCCUGGUCACCCCAUCCGAGAAUCAGCUGCGUGUGUACUUGUCAUACUAAUAUUUGACCAAGCAUUUUUCUUUAAAAUGUGGCCUCUCUAGCCCCUUCAACAAACAGUGCUGGGACAGCUGGAUUUCCACAUGUAAAAGAACCCCUCCCCCAGGCCACAUGCAAAAGUGAGUUCCAAAUGGACCGACCACAGGCUACAGUGAGCACUAAAGCUACGGAACUCCUAGAAGAAAACUUAGCAGUAACUCCUCAGGACCAAGGAUUUGACAACUGAUUGUUAGACAUGACACCAAAGCAACAGCACCAAAAGAAAAGAUGGAUUAAUCAAAAUAAAAAUAAAGAGUGCAUCUGUCAGAAGACACUUUCUAGAAAGUGAAAAUAAGCCAUGUCACACAUGGGUGAUUCCGGUGCCUCAGGAGGCUGAGGCAAGAGGAUCCCAAGUUGAAGGCCAGCCUCAGCAACUCAGGAAGACCCUAUCUUGAAAUAAAAAAUAAAAAUGGAGAGGAUGUCACUCCGUGGUGAAACACCCCUGGGUCCAGUCCCCCAGGACCACAAAAAGAAAGUGAAUUACAACUUAAAGAAUGGGAGAAAAUACUUGUAAAUCAUAGAUCUGAUAUGGGUCUAGUAUCCAGAAGACAGAUGAUAAGUAGAUAAUAGAUAGAUAUCUUAAAACUCAACAAUAAAAAGAAAAAUACACACAGCCCACAUUCCCAGCCCUGUUUUGUAUUUUAUUAGAGACAGGGUCUCACUGAGUUGCUUAGUACCUCGCUAAAUUGCUGAGGCUGGCUUUGAACUCAUGAAAAAAUUGAAUCAAUAAUUAAUAACCUUCCAAAACAGAAAAUCUGAGGUACAGAUGGGUUCACCAGAGAAUUCUAACAUUCAAAGUAUCUCCAGAAAAAAAUUUACCAAUUCUCUACAAUCUCUUUCAGGGAUUGGAGGCAGAGGAAACAUUUCUUAACUCAUCCUACAAAGCCAGCAUUACCAGAGGCCAAAACCAGACACUACAAGAAAACUACAGACCAAUACCUCCUUUGAGUAUGCAAAAAAUAAAUGCAAAAAAUUCUCAAUAAAAUAUUAGUAAAUUGAAUCCAGUAGUGUUUAAAAAGAAUUCUAUACUAUGACUCAGUAGAACUUAUCCUGGAUGUGCAAGGCUGGUUCAACAUUUGAAGGUGAAUUAAUGCAGCCCAUCAACAGGUUAUAAAGGAAAAUGCACUUAAUCAAAUCAAGAAAUGAAGAAAAAGCAUUUGCCAAAUUAUAUGCUCAUUCGUGAUGUGAAAAAAAAAAGUCUCAGUAAACUAGGAAUAAAGGAAAACUUCCUUAACUUAAUGAAGAAUAGCUACCAAAAAAACCUACAACUAAUAUCAUCCUUAAUGAUGAGAAACUAGAAGCUCCACUAAGGUCAGGAACAAAGUAAGGAUGCUCCCUCUCGCCCCUCUUUUUCAGCAUCUCACUAGAAAUCCUAGCCAAUGUGAUAAGGUAAGAAAGGGAAAUAAAAGGUUUACAGAUGAAAAGGGAGAAAUAAAACUGCUUUUGCUUGUGGACGACAGCAUCAUUUAUGUAGAAAAUCCAAAUGAACUGACACAGAAACUCAUAAAACAAAUACUUGAUUUUGACAGGGUGUAGGGUAAAAUGUUAAUAUACAAAAGUCAAUCAUUUCCUCUAUACUAUCAAUGAGCAAGUAAAAUUUUCAAUCUAAAACAUAAUGCCAUUUACAUUAGCAUCCACCCAAAUGAAAUGCUUAGGUAUAAAUCUACAAAUGUACAAGACCAUAUGAGAAAAACUACAAAACCUGGACGAACAAAAUCAAAGAAGAAUGGAGAACAGAUAUUCCUUAUUCAUUAAUAAGAAGACUUGGGCUGGGGACAUAGCUCAGUUGGUAGAGUGCUUGCCUCCCAUGCACAAGGCCUUGGAUUCAAACCCCAGCACCAAAAAAAAAAAAAAAAAAAGAAAAGAAA